UCACAUACAAAAACAUAUAUGCGUCAGUUCAUCGUCCGGCAGCGAGACUUAAAAAUCUCCUACAUUAUACUGUUAAGAAUUUGCCACACACCACGCGCAUGCAUCUCUGUCCUAUUUCUAACAUCUCCUCAGUGCUUCUAAAUAUCUCUACGUGAUUUCCUUAUCAUGUUUCUUACGAUAAAUUGUACAUUCUUUAAAAUAUAUUCAUGACUGAUAAACUUUUCAAAUUAAAUUUCAUAUUAGAUCGUCGUGAUGUUGUUUUUCUCGCAAUGGAAGAUACUUCAAGUUUUAUUGCCAAUUUAAUUAAUUAAAUGGGAUAGUCUUUUAGUAUGGUAAAUUUCUCCUCUGACUAGAUACGACAAGAGUAAAAAGAACUUUAUAUUUAUACUUUUUCCUCUCUCGUUUUAUUUUCUUUCCGCCGAUGUGAUCAAGAAUACAUCCAAAACUCGCGGUCACAUCAAUCGCUCUUGAACUAAAGACCGUCAUAUUUCUGCCUUGAACACCGAUAUCUACAAAAUCGUAUAAAAUUCGAAUAUAGUUCGCGAAUACUUCGCGAAAUAGAGAAGCGAACACGGCUGUAUGGAAAGAUCGUGUUGAGAGUACUGCGCGAUUAAUUUCUCUCGAAAGAAGAAAAUAUGAAAGUGGAGGCUUGCCACGGACGUAUGAAAUAACAUAUAUGGAUUUUUGUCUGUUCAUAAAGGAGACACGAUGUAAACGCAUCAUUGUAUAAGCGUCCACAUCGGCGAUUGUACAUAUUGACUACAAUAAAGCACCUUUGUCGACGAACGUUUGUAACGCGAAUCUUCAGAUUUUUAAUUUUUAAUUUAAAACGAAGGUAUCUCUCUCUUUAAUAUCGAUGCUGAAUAGGUUGCUGCAUAUGAAAUGUUCUUUCAGAUAAAAGCUUUAUCGUUGUGUAGUUUCUAAAACAUAAAUAUGAUGAAAGUAAUUUCCACAUGAUAUUUUACUCAACGUGUAACUUCUAAGAAUUAUCAAUCGUAGAUUUAAUAGUUCUUGGAAUAUGCACUUCCUUUUAAUGCACAAUCCUUAUGCAUUAAAAAAUAGCCUAGUGAAAAAUUUGUCAGCUCACAAAUGUACAUGUUACAUGUACAUUACAAACUAGUCAUGAGAUAAUUAAUUGAUAAUUGAGAUAAGUAAAUUCUAAAAAGAUUCAUUUCAAUUUUCUUAAAUAUACGCGACUUACAGAAAUUACAGAAAUGGAUAUCUAAUUUAUAGUAAAUUAUUUUUUCUUUAACAUGACUGUUAAUUGACAAAUAGGCUAAGUAGUUGGUAUAACCCGCCAAAUUCAAACUUCUGUGAAAUGACAUUUCAUAUGCACCAACGUUAAUACUCGUUAAAAGAAUGUUUCAAACAUUUUUAUAAGAAAUAAAUGAAAAGGAAAUUGAAAAUUAGACAUUUUCGUUGAAACUUCGUUCUCCUAAACGAUAUUCGAGAAAAAAGCAAUUCGAUGCAAGCCAGUUCUUUAAUUUCCUCUAAAACAAGAUCCAUAUAAAACUUAGCAAAAAUUCGACUGGUUUACGAGCCGUUGCCAGCUAAGCAGAUAGAAUCUUCGGACAUUCCUCGUUCGUGUUAAUCACGGGAAAUAAAAAGCACAAUCGAGUGGCGUUACGCUCUCGUUACGGACCGAAGCACAAAAAAACAGGCGGCCAAUAAAAGGUGAACCGUUUUAACGCCUUUUGUUUAUUCAGCAAUACGCAACUUUCGCCGAAUGCGUCACGGAAAGGGUCGCUUUCUUUUCUACGUUUUUAUGAGCAGAAAUGCCGUUCCUUUCUUUCGAACGAAUACGGAAUACGUAUACCGUGCACGUCUAAAUUCGUGGUACAAACGAAGUCAGGAAGAUUCUAUAAAAUUUCCAUGAUUUUAUUGUUAAACUUAAGUCAAUUGCGUAUGAUAUCCACGGCGAACGAGAAAAGAAGAAAGAGAAGAAUGUGAAGGAACAACGCUUCAUAGCUGCGUUUUAACGAACGCGCCUGGAAAAGAAAUCUUUCAACGGAUCCGGAGUGUGCAAUUGUUUAAAAAUCGAAAGGUUUUUUUUAGAUUAAUUGAAUUUGAAAGAAAAUGUAUCCGACUUGAAGAGACGGCGUGUCUACUAUAAACGAUUGCAUACAAUUUGGGGAAAUGUUUAUUUAGAGCGAGUCAUGUGACAGAGAACUUCAGAAAAUUGGCUUACGAUUUCGACAAAAACAGCUGUGAAACUAUGAAGUUUAUUUAUUUGGUCAAUCAUGCUGUAUUAUGUAUGUAUAAGAUGAUGUUAUAUUAAAGUUGGGUUUAAAACGAAAUAUUUAAUAUAUAUCUCUUUGGUACUUUCUUACAAAAUUACAAGAUUGCUUUUAAAUCCAAUCCUAACUGUUAUAUGCCUUAAAUAUUAGAAGUUCCAAUUUCAGUACUUUUACGUCUAUCUAAUAAUAAAUGCUACAUACUUUCGUAUCACCUAUACAUUUCUUGGCAUGUUCUGGUAUUUACACGUGGUAUAUUUUACCGUGUUUCUACAUUUCUCAAGAUUACUAAUAGAACACAGACAUGUUGAACCUCGAGUUUACGAAUCAUCAAAGAACAAAACGAGAAACAGAAGUUUCGGUAAUUUUCUACUCAAUUGCAUUUUUUGGGCGUUAAAAAGUAUCAGAAGUUUGAGCAAAAUAUAAAAAAGUUCUUAGUAUUUCGUGGAUCUUUGUACAAUUUCCUAUAUUUACUAAACGUGAUUAAGGGAAAUGGAAACUACAUGUAGAUUUAUACAAAGUAUACAAAUCUCUCAAACAACACAUAUACAAUAAUAUAUACGACAAAUGUAGAAUGAUACAAAAUAGUGUUCAAAUACUACUUGGUUCCCUUGAGCAAUCGAUUAAAAAUACCAUUGAACGAAUAAAAAAAAAGAUAGUUUACAGGGCCACUGUAACAUAGUCGAUUAAAUACGACACACGUGCAUGUUCACUGACUUUUACAUACGUAAAGGCCACAUCGCUUCCCCACUAACCCAAUAAAAAUGUAUAGAUCGCAACAACGUUGAUACGUCCUUCUUCAAAAUCAUCCUAUGAACGAAAUCAAUAUAAAUAAUACCACGUCAGCAGUGACGUCUCAGAAAGAAGGCCAAAGAAGGCGAAGAAAGAACGCCAAAGAGAAAAGUAGGAUUACCUCAACUUUGUGAUAAUUUUAUCGGUUUCUCGGUGAUUUCUACGAAGAAGACGUUGAAUAAGUAUUGCAUAGAAAUAAUUUAAUAGCGAUAAACAAGUAAUCCAGUUUCUAGAGAGAGAUGGACGCGAUCAGUAGAGAUUCCCCGCGCUUUCGAGCGAUGGCAAGCGAAAAAUGGAACGAAGGACGAAGGAGAGACGAGGAAAUCUGAGCGGUGACUCGGAUAACGGAAAACGGUAUCCCCGUUCGCAGGAAUGACCGGCGUCGAUAUGUACCGUUGCGUCAUUUAAUGAAAUCAUCGGCUGCCAUGCGUUGCUCCUCGCAUAGUUUGAUUAUUCGAGCACAUCCCGGUAUCCGUGUGAAUGCUAGCUGCGGCCAAGGUGGGAGAUAGAGAAGAAGAACUGCUACGAGGUGAAAUAAAACGGAAAACGUAAUAUAUCAAAGGCUACGAAUAAUUCGGAGAACUUUGAAAUGACAUCGAUACGAAGAAUACCGAAAUGAUAAGAAAUUCAUCCAAAUGCGUUAGCAAGGUAAUGAUAGUGCAAUGAAAGACACGAUUUGAGAAACGGCGCAAGUUCACUAGCCGUUUUCUAAAUUUAUGUGCCAACCCACGGACAUUUCCGAGAUUAUUUUCAAUCGCGACUCGUAUUUCGAGACUGUUUCCCAAAUCGUCGAUCGGAAACGGAAGAAUGUUUAAAGAAUAACCGUGACUUUCUACCGGCGCUACAUGGUGUAUUUCACGAUCAUUGGUGAUUACUGUUUCGCGCGAAGGAGGGAAUAAUUCACAGUACACGAUUUCGUGGUUAAGGCGGCCGUAACUGAUGACUCACAUUAAUUACUGAAUGUUUUUCAACGAUAAUACAAUGGCAAAUAUUUCGCGAGGAAUUAAGCAUAUUAUUUUGCUGGAAGUAAUCGAACGAACGUGACCGGGUCUUAUUGUUAUAUAAAUAUUUCUAAUUUUAUGUAUGCAUCAUUUUUUGUUUAAAGAUAGCGCAGUACUACUAGAUUACUACGUAUGAAGUGACCGAUUCCGUAAAUGCGUAAAAUCAUUCAGGAUUUAAUGAUCGAAAGUAGCGUUAAAUAACUUCUUAAAAUUUCGUUGCCACUGCAACGAGACACGGUUACUAUGAUUAUUGAAUCGCGAAAUGUCCAUAAAAGCUGUCAAAUAUUUAUCACAAGUAAACACUGAAUAAAAAUUCUUCUACCAUAUGAAUGUAAUUUUACUAAUAUAAUCGUAAUAGUCGCGUCUCAUCGCAGUGCUAACGAAAUUUCAAAAUGCUUUGUAUAAUACACACACGAUGUAUCCAUAAAAUGUUUCUAUGAUAAGUAUCGAAAUUUUUUCAUGAGUCGUAAAAGUUAUUCUCGAAGCUAGUCACAGUGUUAGAAGAGAAAUCACAAAUAUGAAAUACUUAAAAAAAAAGAGAAAGAAAAAAGGAGCAAAAGUGAAGAAUUAAAAGUAUACACAGGAAAGAUAUAAGCUGAGCAGAAGAAGAAUUCUAAGCGACACGAUGGCGAAAGGUAUUACAACUAGGGUCGUGGACAUUCCAGUUAAAAGGCGUCUUUUUCAUGAAGCACAGCAGCCCGGAGCUGAAGUCCUUUUGUUACUCACGUUUCUCGGUAUGUCUCGUGAGGGCAUGCACGUACACACGUGGCACGAUGUGCCCCGUCUCUGGAUUCGAGGUUAAACGCGGCGGGAGAAGCGAGAGAAGAGAAACUCACCGGUAAGAGAAGUGGACGCCGCUUUACGAAAAUCUUUCAUGGUCAACGGGUCACCCACGAUCGUCAUCGCGUAAAACCAUGAAAGGAUACGACACAACGAACUGUUUAAAUAUUUGAAUCCUUACAUGGCGCGUUACGAAAUCCAUCUAACAUAAGUACUUUAACAUACUUUACGGUUGUACAAAUUGAAUAUCAAUUAGCUAGUGGCGAUUAUAUCGAUGAUACGUGUAUCAGUUGGUGAUAAUGAGAAAUACGGGCGUUUAAUCCUGUUCCGAUUUCAAAGAUGAAAUAGUGAAAGUAGUCGUUCGAUGCGAGCGAUUUUUCCAUCGUUUUCAUACUUUCUCUAUGUUCGUCCUUCUUUAGAUAAUUGGAUCGAUUCACGAAGAAGAAAAAAAGGGCAAAUAGCGUUUAAUCAUAGCGCUUGAGAGUCAUCCAUUCCUCCUUUCCGAGCACACAAGGAAGUAUAAUACAAAGAAACGGUAAUACAUAUAAAUCCAGAUUGGUGAAAUGUAAAAGAAAAAAGCGAUCGGGACAGGAUAAUGUCUAUCAAGAAAUCAAGGAGUUUGCUCGGAACAGCUUGAUUUCACUCAAACGACCUACAUUUUGCCCGUCUACUUUUGUGUUCGUGUAGCUAGACGAAGAAGCUGUAGUAACGAGUAACACGAAUAUUUAAUAAUAAUAAGUAAGCAGACUACGAAUAUUUAUGAAAAUUCAAAUUUAUGCGAAUAAAAGUAAGCGGAUAAAAAACCUU
Molecule: long non-coding RNA, 5614 nt
Organism: Bombus huntii
Lineage: Eukaryota; Metazoa; Arthropoda; Insecta; Hymenoptera; Apidae
Exons: 2
Source: RefSeq, a predicted model, not a curated record